GAAGACGGCAUACGAGAUGCGCGAGAGUGACUGGAGUUCAGACGUGUGCUCUUCCGAUCUGUUUCCCAGUCACGAUAAGUUACCAGUAGCGAGGUUAAGCGAAUAGUGAAGCCGAAGGGAAACCGAGUCUUAAUAGGGCGAUAAGUUGCUGGGAGUAGACCCGAAACCGGGUGAUCUAUCCAUGGCCAGGAUGAAGGUUGGGUAAAACCAAGUGGAGGUCCGAACCCACUAAUGUUGCAAAAUUAGGGGAUGAGUUGUGGAUAGGGGUGAAAGGCUAAUCAAACUCGGUAAUAGCUGGUUCUCCUCGAAAACUAUUUAGGUAGUGCCUUAAGAGAUGACUUACGGGGGUAGAGCACUGUUUCGGUGAUGGGGGCAUUCGUGCCUUACUGAACCGAUGCAAACUCAGAAUACCGUAAAGUUUAACUUAGGAGACACACUGCGGGUGCUAAGGUCCGUGGUGGAAAGGGAAAGAGCCCAGACCGUCAGUUAAGGUCCCAAAGUUGUGAUUAAGUGGAAAACGAUGUAGAAAGGCAUAGACAGCCAGGAGGUUGGCUUAGAAGCAGCCAUCCUUUAAAGAAAGCGUAAUAGCUCACUGGUCGAGUCGGUCUGCGCGGAAGAUAUAACGGGGCUAAAAUCACACACCGAAGCUACGGAUUUAGAGGAUAGACUAUAGAGGAUAGAAGAUAGAUGAAAGGGAUAAGUAGAUUUGAAGACUUAAGUGUAUUCAGGAAGGCAUAUAAAGUGUCUCUUGAGAUACAUACCUUGUGUUUGAAGAUGCCGAAAGAGGAGCAGUACGGAGGUAUUGCGGACCAGUUGAGGCGGUCGAGCAAGGGGAUAUGUGCGAACAUAGCGGAAGGUUAUGGAAAGCAGCAUGUGUCGAGUAAGGAAUUUCAAAGAUAUUUAUCGAUGGCGAUAGGUUCAGCGAAUGAAGUGAGGGUAUGGUUACGAUAUGCUUUAGAUUUAGGGUAUAUUGAAGAAGUACGCUGGCUGGAGUUCAAAGAGAGUUACCUUGAGAUAGCGAAGAUGUUAUCUGGGUUGCAUCGCAGUUGGAAAUGAAGGAUUCAUCUAUGUUCUGUUUUUUAUAGUCUAUCCUCUAGAUGGUAGAGGAGCGUUCUGUACGCCUGAGAAGGUGAAUCGAGAGGUUUGCUGGAGGUAUCAGAAGUGCGAAUGCUGACAUAAGUAACGAAAAUGCGGGUGAGAUUCCCGCACGCUGGAAGUCCAAGGGUUCCUGCGCAAUGUUGAUCAGCGCAGGGUGAGUCGGUUCCUAAGGCGAGGCUGAGAGGCGUAGUCGAUGGGAAACAGGUUAAUAUUCCUGUACUUUUUGUUAAUUCGAAGCAGGGACGGAGAAGGCUAGGUUUGCCAGGCGAAUGGUUGUCCUGGUGAAAGCAUGUAGGCGUUUCCCUAUAGUUAAGUACGUUGGGGGUAGCUGAGGUGCGAGAGGAGUUUUCCUUAGGGAAGACGAAGGAACUGAUGCCACGCUUCCGGGAAAAGCUGCUAAGGUUAGUUAACAAGGAACCGUACCCCAAACCGACACUGGUGGACAGGUAGAGAAUACUAAGGCGUUGAGAGAACUCAGGUGAACGAACUAGGCAAAAUGGUACCGUAACUUCGGGAGAAGGUACGCUCUUGCUGGUGAAGAGAUUUACUCUUGGAGCUGGUGGGAGUUGCAAAUACUAGGUGGCUGCGACUGUUUAACAAAAACACAGCACUCUGCAAACACGAAAGUGGACGUAUAGGGUGUGACGCCUGCCCGGUGCCGGAAGGUUAAGUGAUGGGGUGCAAGCUCUUGAUCGAAGCCCCGGUAAACGGCGGCCGUAACUAUAACGGUCCUAAGGUAGCGAAAUUCCUUGUCGGGUAAGUUCCGACCUGCACGAAUGGCGUAACGAUGGCCACACUGUCUCCUCCUGAGACUCAGCGAACUUGAAGUGUUUGUGAUGAUGCAAUCUCCCCGCAGCUAGACGGAAAGACCCCAUGAACCUUUACUGUAGCUUUGCAUUGGACU
This 2002-nucleotide ribosomal RNA is filed under the name freshwater metagenome. Its description in RNAcentral is "bacterial LSU rRNA". It matches the Rfam family "Bacterial large subunit ribosomal RNA", at positions 573 to 2123 of the family's 2925-position model. The record is from RNAcentral.